This is a small nuclear RNA of Sorex fumeus (smoky shrew), 107 nucleotides long. Lineage: Eukaryota; Metazoa; Chordata; Mammalia; Eulipotyphla; Soricidae. The record is from RefSeq and is a predicted model, not a curated record.
GAACUCACCUUGGCAGCUCAUAUGCUAACAUAGGAACAAUAAAGAGAAAAUUAGUGAAGCCCCUUUGCAAGGAUGACAUGCAAAUUUGUGAAAGACAGACAGAAGGA